Myotis brandtii (Brandt's bat) is the source of this 135-nucleotide long non-coding RNA. RefSeq lists it as uncharacterized. NCBI's taxonomy places the organism in Eukaryota, Metazoa, Chordata, Mammalia, Chiroptera, Vespertilionidae. The record is from RefSeq and is a predicted model, not a curated record. The transcript is spliced from 3 exons.
AUUAUAAUCAGAAGAGAAGAACCAAGAUGGCGGCAUAAGUUACAGACCUGUGCAUGCUGUCUCCCACAACAACAUCGAGACUACCAACUAUAAAAGAAACAGUUGUCAUUCAGAACCAUGGGAAAGCUGGCCCAG